CCGCAGCCCGACUUGAGCGGAAAUCCUUUUUUGCCAACCCAUAAGUUCUAUUUAUACGGAAAUCGUCUGCCAAAAAGAUUGGGAGCGGAAGGCGGAUUAAGC
RNAcentral lists this small RNA (102 nucleotides) under Epilithonimonas bovis DSM 19482. RNAcentral's name for it is "Chryseobacterium bovis DSM 19482 Flavo-1 RNA". The record is from RNAcentral. Lineage: Bacteria; Pseudomonadati; Bacteroidota; Flavobacteriia; Flavobacteriales; Weeksellaceae.